Molecule: long non-coding RNA, 623 nt
Filed under: Ananas comosus (pineapple)
Lineage: Eukaryota; Viridiplantae; Streptophyta; Magnoliopsida; Poales; Bromeliaceae
Description: long non-coding RNA (ACOM_LNC008786)
Source: RNAcentral
ACUACUAGUCCCUACAAACUCUUUACAUAGGUAAGUUUCAUUUGUACAAUCUGACUCAUAUGAUUUAUUUAAUUAAAGCGUAAGGAUACACUUGAUUCAAUAGUUGAAAUCUAUCUCAACACGUUCUUGAUGGACGAACAUUAUUAAAAUAUUCUCAUAUUAGGUUUUAUAUAUAUAGUUGAGCUCAUGUGCUUUUAAAAAUAGUGCAAGAGCAUUUAUGCUUAUGGCUUUUUAAUCGUCAGAUCGCGUCAAGGUCUGUACAGCACUAUUAAUGAUGUAUUCCGUUAAGUCCUCUUUACUAGUGCUGCAUGAAUGUUGAGGCGAUUUGACGGUUAAAAAAAAUCACAAGCUCAACUCUCUCUCUCUCUCUCUCAUGACUAGGCUCCUAUACUAUCUAUAGCAUCGGCGUGCUGAUCUAUUGACUCUUUCUCAACCUUAAAAUAUUAAAAUUAGCGAUUCACACCAUUAAAACUGAUAUAGAGUGUAGGUUAUGAGGAACCUUAGGAUUUAUCUAGAUACUAUCAAUUACUUAGAAGGGGGUGAAUAGAUAUAACGGCCAUACACCACACAUCUUAAUGUAAUAAAAAUAAAUGCGAAAAAUAAAAUAGCACACUGAGAUUUAC